UGAGGAAUAUUGGACAAUGGAGGCAACUCUGAUCCAGCCAUGCCGCGUGCAGGAAGACGGCCCUAUGGGUUGUAAACUGCUUUUAUACAGGAAGAAACGUUAGUACGUGUACUAGCCUGACGGUACUGUAAGAAUAAGGAUCGGCUAACUCCGUGCCAGCAGCCGCGGUAAUACGGAGGAUCCAAGCGUUAUCCGGAAUCAUUGGGUUUAAAGGGUCCGCAGGCGGUCUAUUAAGUCAGAGGUGAAAUCCUAUCGCUCAACGAUAGAACUGCCUUUGAUACUGGUAGACUUGAGUUAUUGUGAAGUAGUUAGAAUGUGUAGUGUAGCGGUGAAAUGCAUAGAUAUUACAC
RNAcentral lists this ribosomal RNA (350 nucleotides) under uncultured bacterium. RNAcentral's name for it is "bacterial SSU rRNA". It matches the Rfam family "Bacterial small subunit ribosomal RNA", at positions 355 to 702 of the family's 1533-position model. The record is from RNAcentral.